RNAcentral lists this ribosomal RNA (292 nucleotides) under uncultured bacterium. RNAcentral describes it as "partial 16S ribosomal RNA". It matches the Rfam family "Bacterial small subunit ribosomal RNA", at positions 505 to 796 of the family's 1533-position model. The record is from RNAcentral.
GUGCCAGCAGCCGCGGUAAUACAUAGGGUGCGAGCGUUAUUCGGAAUCACUGGGCGUAAAGCGCGGGUAGGUGGUUUGGUAAGUCUGUUGUGAAAGCCCUGGACUCAAUCCAGGAAGUGCAGCGGAUACUACCAGACUAGAGUACUGGAGAGGUGGAUGGAAUUCCAGGUGUAGAGGUGAAAUUCGUAGAUAUCUGGAGGAACAACGGAAGCGAAAGCGAUCCACUGGACAGUAACUGACACUCAACUGCGAAAGCGUGGGGAGCAAACAGGAUUAGAAACCCCCGUAGUCC